Molecule: ribosomal RNA, 253 nt
Filed under: uncultured bacterium
Lineage: Bacteria
Description: partial 16S ribosomal RNA
Rfam family: Bacterial small subunit ribosomal RNA
Source: RNAcentral
UACAGAGGGGGCAAGCGUUAUUCGGAAUUAUUGGGCGUAAAGGGCGCGUAGGCGGCCUGGCAAGUGGAAGGUGAAAUCCCCGAGCUUAACUUGGGAACUGCCAUUGAUACUAUCAGUCUUGAAUACCGUGGAGGUCAGCGGAAUAUGUCAUGUAGCGGUGAAAUGCUUAGAUAUGACAUAGAACACCAAUUGCGAAGGCAGCUGGCUACACGGAUAUUGACACUGAGGCACGAAAGCGUGGGGAUCAAACAGG